ACGAACGCUGGCGGCGCGCUUAACACAUGCAAGUCGAACGGAAAGGCCUGCUUUCCCUUGUGGAUUGCGGGUACUCGAGUGGCGAACGGGUGAGUAACACGUGAGUGAUCUGCCCCCAACUUGGGUAUAAGCCUGGGAAACUGGGUCUAAUUCCCGAUAGGACUGCAGGGUGGUGCCUGUGGUGGAAAACGAUUUUCUAGUGGUUGGGGAUGAGCUCGCGGCCUAUCAGCUUGUUGGUGGGGUAAUGGCCUACCAAGGCGGCGACGGGUAGCCGGCCUGAGAGGGUGGACGGCCACAUUGGGACUGAGAUACGGCCCAGACUCCUACGGGAGGCAGCAGUGGGGAAUAGUGCACCAUGGGCGGAAGCCUGAUGCAGCGACGCCGCGUGGGGGAUGACGGCCUUCGGGUGGUAAACUCCUUUCGACCGCGAGGAAGCCACCUGGUUGGAAGGGUGGUGACGGUAGUGGUAGAAGAAGCACCGGCUAACUACGUG
This 493-nucleotide ribosomal RNA is filed under the name uncultured bacterium. Its description in RNAcentral is "partial 16S ribosomal RNA". It matches the Rfam family "Bacterial small subunit ribosomal RNA", at positions 29 to 507 of the family's 1533-position model. The record is from RNAcentral.